Molecule: transfer RNA, 69 nt
Filed under: Pheidole flavens
Lineage: Eukaryota; Metazoa; Arthropoda; Insecta; Hymenoptera; Formicidae
Description: tRNA-Ser
Source: RNAcentral
AAUUAAUGAUCUUGUAUAAGAUUAUGUUUUGAAAACAUACCAAAGAAACUUUAACUUUUCUAUUAAUUU